Molecule: long non-coding RNA, 528 nt
Filed under: Phoenix dactylifera (date palm)
Lineage: Eukaryota; Viridiplantae; Streptophyta; Magnoliopsida; Arecales; Arecaceae
Description: long non-coding RNA (PDAC_LNC017559)
Source: RNAcentral
AGUUAGUAGUUAUAUUUGUUGAGUCAAGGGCCUUCAGUUAGUAGUUAUAUAUACUGAGGCAGGCCCUAAUUGCUGCAUUGUUUUCUUCAAGUGCACAACCAUGCAGAGUAGAUGCGUUGAACAUGUCCUUCAUCUUAAGAUAUUUGAGAGGCAACUGGACGCUGCAGAUUUAUGGUUAGGACAAUUAGUGAUAAUAUUAAUAAAGACAAAACAAUGCUUAAAGUCAUUUUUAGGAGGCGAAAAAAGUGAAAUUGCCUUGGUGGCCUUGCCUUAUGCAGCGGAGGGCUGCAAAUGAGCAAGUUGUGCAUGAGCUAGCUCGAGUUCAAAAAUUUGACUUAAAUUAGACUCGCUCGAUUUAAAAAAUGAGCUGGGUUGGAGCUAAACUUAGUUCACUUAAAUUUGACUUAAAUUACCUCAAAAUACUCAUAUAAAAACAAUAUAUAUAAUUUUAAUAAUUAUUAAUUAUAUCAAUAAUUAUUUUUUAUAACACUUAUCAUGUGUAAAAUAUAAACUAUGUUGAAUAUAAUG